RNAcentral lists this transfer RNA (76 nucleotides) under Marmota monax (woodchuck). Its description in RNAcentral is "tRNA.Val". The stretch from base 12 to 69 matches the Rfam family "tRNA", at positions 8 to 63 of the family's 71-position model. From Rfam's summary of the family: Transfer RNA (tRNA) molecules are approximately 80 nucleotides in length. Their secondary structure includes four short double-helical elements and three loops (D, anti-codon, and T loops). Lineage: Eukaryota; Metazoa; Chordata; Mammalia; Rodentia; Sciuridae. The record is from RNAcentral.
GUCUGGGGGCAUAGUUCAGUUGAUAGAGUGGUUGCCUCACAAGCACUAGACCCUGGGUUCAAUCCCCAGCAAAACA